Molecule: non-coding RNA, 253 nt
Filed under: uncultured bacterium
Lineage: Bacteria
Also listed under: 1 other name
Description: partial 16S ribosomal RNA
Rfam family: Bacterial small subunit ribosomal RNA
Source: RNAcentral
UACGUAGGUGGCAAGCGUUGUCCGGAUUUAUUGGGCGUAAAGCGAGCGCAGGCGGAAAGAUAAGUCUGAUGUGAAAGCCCCCGGCUUAACCGAGGAAUUGCAUCGGAAACUGUGUUUCUUGAGUGCAGAAGAGGAGAGUGGAACUCCAUGUGUAGCGGUGGAAUGCGUAGAUAUAUGGAAGAACACCAGUGGCGAAGGCGGCUCUCUGGUCUGUAACUGACGCUGAGGCUCGAAAGCAUGGGUAGCGAACAGG